UUACAUUAACCAUGCGUGAAAGUUUAAAGUUACUUCUAUAUAUUAAUUAACAAUGUAAUUAUAAAUAGGUUAGAAAAAGCAGUAUAUAUAGAGGAGGAUAUGUUUCUGGUAUACAUAAAUAUAAUGAUUAUUGAAGGCACUUGAGUAAUUUCACAAAGCAAGCAUUUUGUUUGGCACCUUCAUUUGAGAAUUGAAACAAACUACACGAUGAAGGGCAUGAAAAGCCCCACCUUUAUUUUACUUUUUAUUUACCAUCAUAAAGGAGCCCACAGAUAUGUUUUGGAGCACCAUAUAUACAAC
RNAcentral lists this long non-coding RNA (300 nucleotides) under Glycine max (soybean). RNAcentral's name for it is "long non-coding RNA (GMAX_LNC002339)". The record is from RNAcentral. Lineage: Eukaryota; Viridiplantae; Streptophyta; Magnoliopsida; Fabales; Fabaceae.